This 207-nucleotide long non-coding RNA is filed under the name Mytilus galloprovincialis (Mediterranean mussel). The record is from RNAcentral. Lineage: Eukaryota; Metazoa; Mollusca; Bivalvia; Mytilida; Mytilidae.
UUUUUUGUUGUUGUUGUUUUAAAUGUCUCACUCUUUGUCAUUUCGGAUCCUUACUGUACGAUAUGGGUUUUGCUCGUCAUUGUUGAAGGUCUUGAAGGCCGCACGGGGGUUUACGAUUUCAUACAUCAUGUCAAUUGGUCUCAAAGAAGAUGUUUGGUAAUUGCUACAUUGGUAAUCAUACCCUAUCUUCAUAUGUUUAUAUUGUUG